GAGGCGAGAGGAAAUGAGGAAGGCGUUUCUAAUCAAAGUAAAGCAGGUGAUUCACCACGAGGGCCCUGUUUGGAUCCCACUGCUAGAGCUAGUUUGAGCUAAUUUGAGCUGAACUAGCUCUCAAAGUAUCCAAACACAUGGGCUAGUUUGGGUUAGAUGCAAACUAACCCAUCAAAAAAACUAGCCCUGAGAAGAGGUGCUAAUUGAAGCUAGUUGGGGAUGGACAGGUAAAAAUAAUAAUAUUUUGACCCCAUCAGAUCCUUGCCUCGCCCCGCC
Molecule: long non-coding RNA, 276 nt
Filed under: Hordeum vulgare
Lineage: Eukaryota; Viridiplantae; Streptophyta; Magnoliopsida; Poales; Poaceae
Description: long non-coding RNA (HVUL_LNC020197)
Source: RNAcentral